UGCAUUCACUACUGUAAAUCGCUCUGGAUAAGGGCGUCUGCUAAAUGACUAAAA
Salmo salar (Atlantic salmon) is the source of this 54-nucleotide non-coding RNA. NCBI's taxonomy places the organism in Eukaryota, Metazoa, Chordata, Actinopteri, Salmoniformes, Salmonidae. The record is from Rfam.